Molecule: small RNA, 131 nt
Filed under: Enterobacter cloacae subsp. cloacae
Lineage: Bacteria; Pseudomonadati; Pseudomonadota; Gammaproteobacteria; Enterobacterales; Enterobacteriaceae
Description: RtT RNA
Rfam family: RtT RNA
About the family: This family represents a bacterial cis-regulatory element known as RtT RNA.
Source: RNAcentral
UAUUCAUCGCAUGCGGGAAGGAUGAGAAGCUUCGACUAAGGUUCGAUUCGAGCGUAGCGAGAAAGCGUUGCCGCAGGCAACGACCCGAAGGGCGAGGCGCAACGUGCCGAGUAAUCCUUCCCCCACCACCA